AGCUACAUUUAAAUCAACUGAGAACACCCCAUCUCGUCCGAUCUGGGAAGUUAAGCAACAUCAGGCCCAGUUAGUAUACUUAGAUGGGUGACCGCCUGGAAAUACCGGGUGUUGUAGGCG
Molecule: ribosomal RNA, 120 nt
Organism: Ciona intestinalis (vase tunicate)
Lineage: Eukaryota; Metazoa; Chordata; Ascidiacea; Phlebobranchia; Cionidae
Source: Ensembl